GUGAAUCAUCGAAUUUUUGAACGCAAAUUGCGCUUCCUGGCAUCCCGGGAAGUAUGCCUGUUUGAGGGUCAGUAUUAACAAAAAAUCGGUUUGGUUGCAAAUUGUGACGUUUCCGGAGUUUGGGCUAUCUUAACUUUUUUGGUUAAGGGGCUUAAAAUUGACCUUAUUUGCGCAUUUUUAGACGUACAUAAAUUUUUUUUUUUUUUUUGUUUUUUUUUAAUUCCAAAAUUUUUUUAAAUGGCAUCCAA
RNAcentral lists this unclassified non-coding RNA (248 nucleotides) under Glomeraceae sp. RNAcentral's name for it is "partial contains 5.8S ribosomal RNA and internal transcribed spacer 2". The stretch from base 1 to 71 matches the Rfam family "5.8S ribosomal RNA", at positions 84 to 154 of the family's 154-position model. The record is from RNAcentral. Lineage: Eukaryota; Fungi; Glomeromycota; Glomeromycetes; Glomerales; Glomeraceae.